This is a long non-coding RNA of Artibeus jamaicensis (Jamaican fruit-eating bat), 445 nucleotides long. RefSeq lists it as uncharacterized. Lineage: Eukaryota; Metazoa; Chordata; Mammalia; Chiroptera; Phyllostomidae. The record is from RefSeq and is a predicted model, not a curated record. The transcript is spliced from 2 exons.
GGAGGCGCCAAAACUUGGUGAGUGCCCCGGGGACUUGUCCCGAGACUGGAAGAGGCUGAUCACCUCUCAUUGGAACCUUGGGUUGGAUGCAUUCCGACCACUCGAACCCUUCUCGGGGGGUUUUGUCCUGAGUUUAGGUGGGAUCCAUACCGGGUUCCACAACUUGACCCCGUACUCAGGGGGGUAUUGUUUAAACUCGGAGUGCUUGAGCGUGAAAGUGUGCGAGACUGUGUUUGUGGCUCCACGGGCUGGUCCUACGGAGCAAGAGUGGGUCCCAACCUGCGGUUCCUGUGUCAGGUCAUACGGCAUAACGGUUGGCAGCUAACCCCGAAUUCUGCUGGGGCAACCUUAGCCAAGACCGACUUCGUCCCGCGAGGGAGCAGGCCAGGCGGACGAGCGAAUCUACCCCACCCUUUGUGUGUCCACGUCGUGUGGGGCUCGGCAG